This 10047-nucleotide long non-coding RNA is filed under the name Malus domestica (apple). Its description in RNAcentral is "long non-coding RNA (MDOM_LNC003274)". Lineage: Eukaryota; Viridiplantae; Streptophyta; Magnoliopsida; Rosales; Rosaceae. The record is from RNAcentral.
CCUUCUUUUCAUUCAUUUUAUAGACAAAGCUUUAGACAAAGUUGUAGUGGGAUGAAUAGUGGAUUGGUAGUGGGAUAGGUGGCCAUCCACAAUGAAUGGCCUGUGCAUUACAACACUCUCCCUUGGAUGACCACAAGUUUUCAAUUGACUUGUUAAAAUCUUGAUCUGUUUUGGAUGCUUCCCAUGCUGAGUAUCUCCUCCUGUUUCCAAAUUCUUUAAGCUGAUCAUUGAUCCUUCUGCUUUAGUUUCUUAGCGGGGAGAGUUGCCGAAAGAGGUGCUUUACUUGUUGUUAACUUUCCAUAGGCUUUUUCUUGAACUGGGCUGGAGGGCUUUCUGCUAGACUUGCAUCAAAGGUCUGAAUUUACUCAUUUUAUCUAGAGCGGAAUUUGAUUCAAGGGUGGUGGACACUUGAUAUUGAAUUGGACUUGUGAUUUCUUCAAGGACCUUCGAGGCUUAAUCUUGAAUGAAAUUGGACCAUGAAGAGCUUCACAUGGCAAGUGAUCUUCGGCUUUAUCGAGGAUGAAUCAGUAUGUGUUUGUUGCGCUUGUCUCCACAUGCUUCAAUGUAUCAUUUUCACUUGCCUUACUUGUUUCCCUUGCAUAAGUGGUAUUUUCCCUGGUUUUCCCCUAUGUAUGUGUGGCAUCUUCUCUUGUAGUAUUUGUCCCCUGAUGCAGGAGUGGAAUGCAACCCUUGCAUUUGGAUGAUUCAUCACUUCUUGGUGACUGGAGACCCAACUUCAUCAACAGUUGAAGAUGGUUACUCAAGAGAAAUACUAGGUAAGUAAUCAGGAAAGUUUUCAGGCAAUCGGAUCCUUACCAGAAGGUUGAUUACAGGUUCUGACUGAUUUCUUUCUUUAUCCUUGUUUUGCAGGUAAGAACAAGGACAAAGGAAAUGAUAGGGAAAUUGGAUGAUAUGAGAUACUUUUGCUCUCGUCCCUAAUGAUAUGAGAUACUCUUGCUCUGGUAUGACUUGUUUUGAAGAGUUAUUCUCGAAGAGAAAGAAAACUGAGUAUGUUGAGAGGUUUGGUUGCAGAUGCAUUUUCGGCAAUGAGAGAGAGUUAGGAGUUUUGGAUGUGUGCCUUGCCAUGGAGGAUGAAGGUCGAUAUAUAUAGGGAUUUCCCCAAUAGCAGGUAGUGGUGUGGAUGUGGCUUUGUCAUCCACGCUUGUCGGCAACAGUGUUGUAGUUGGAAUAGUGAAAUUCAUGCGUUUUCAACUUUAUCAGAGAUCUUUGACAAAGUUGCAAGUGAUAUCCAAAAGCUGAAAUUGCGUCUAAGAAAUGUUGACGAACUUUAUCCUGAAAAUCUAGCUUUUGAAAUUCGGAGAGCGAUUUCUCUUUGAUUUUUGAACAGGUGACCCUGUUGCAUCUUCUUUUAUAGAUAUAUCAAUUUUGUUCAGAUACAUUCAUAAAAUUGUUGCCUGUAGAAAUUUCCUCUUCUUGCACUUCUGAGAUUUUAUCUGACCUCAUUUUUCCUUCAUCAUUUCUGAAAAAUGGCUUGCCCAUCUAACAUUUGGUUAGAUUUGAGUCUUAGGACUAAUAUAGGCGAGCCGCAUCAGGAUAAUAUACAGUGCCCAUCUUUCUUAUCUUCAAAUAGUCCUCUUAUGGUUGGGGACUCUAUGAUGAAGAAUGACCUAACCAUUAUAGUGGUAGUUAGGAAUCUUCUCACUCCCAAGGAUAACAGAAUCCUUUCAAACCGGUUUGAUGAGUCGACUGUUCAAGACUCCUUGGCUCUCAGUAUUCAGUGUGCGGGCUCUGUUUCUAAUAUAGGCCAAUGCCUACUUGCUCGAACUCACCAAGUUGAAUCAUUGAUGGCUGUGGUGGCAAGUCUUAAACAAGAGAUUGGAUGGCUCAAGCAUGAGAAUAGAAUGUUAUACAUGCUUGCAAAUAAUUACUCAAUGAGCCCGACCAACUACUGGAAUCCGAAGGUCGAACUCAAAAUGACAAUCAAGGGUUCAAGUCUUUAAUCCAAAGACACACAUUGUCUUAACCGUCUAGAGUUUCACCAAGUAUUGAGGCUCCAAAUAAUCAACCUUCGGUGCCUCUUCCUUCUGGGGUACUUCUGAGUACUGAGGCUUCACAUGAGCAACCUUUGUAAAGGUUCCCUCCUGUUUGUUCAUUUUAACUCAUGUGUAUGUACAUGUCUGUAAUUUCUUGGAGAUAUUAAUAGAUAACUUUAUUUCAUUCAGUGUAUUGUGUUAAAUACAAUAAAGCAUAUACUUCAUUAAGAUGUGGUACUUCUGGAUUGAACAUAUAUUCAUCUUUUCCUCACGAUGAUGAAUGAUUUUUCUUAGUGUCUAAAUAUUAAUUAACCACUUGAGUAUUCAACUCAUGAUCUUCAAUCCAUAUGGUUCUUUUAAUACUAUAAACAUCAUGGAUAAGAUUCGUGUUAGUAUAUUGUUCGAUCUGCAGCUCGAGACAAUAUUUCUCUCAACACUUUAUAAACUUUUUAGAUUCUUCAGGAGUCUCAACCUAAUAUUAUCGACUCUUGCAAGAAAUUUUAGUAUGUUACAACAAUAUCAUAAUGAUAGUACUCACUAAGACAAUUUAUACCAUCCAUUGGUAUUGAGUACAUAUUUUAUGCUUUACCCUUCCGGGGCUUACUUCAAGCAAUUUGAAUCCUUUAGGGAUUUUUUGAAUCCUUUAGGGAUUUUCUACACUUCAGGACACAUUUUCCUUUGGAAUAUAUACAGAGCAAUUUGCUCCCAUGUAUACUUGAGGGAUUUACUUAUGGAGAUAUGAUGUGGGCGACUCACAACCCUUCAUAUAUAAUUCUACAUUCAUAUGAACUCGUUUACAAGAGUAUAAUUUUAGGUUUCAAUUAGUAACCUUGUGUCAUAUCAUGUGAGUGUAUUCCAUUGUAUUACAAAUACUCAUAUGUAACCUUCUAGGUUCAACAUCUUUUGGCUAUUUGUAUUAUACAUAUAUAUAGAUCCAUUUUUCCACGUUCUUACAAGAUUGUAAUGGAAUUGCCUUUUCUCCAUUUUUGGCAAAUAAUAUUUCCUUUCAUCGACGAACAAAAGAACGUGACUCAAUAUCAAUCCAGCUCAUUGAUGAAUUUAGUAGCUACUUGUAAAAACCAAAAUUAUCAUUGGUUAUCAUCAAUCCGUGAUCCCAUAUUCUAAUGUGCAUACGCAUGCAUAUAAACUUUUCAUUUCUUUGGAUAUCUAUUGCCUCUUCAAGGGCAUUAUACUAUCUCUCUCAGGAUAGUCAUAAUUUAGAGAAUGUGGAUCAUAACCUCAUCUGGAGCAUUAUAGAGCUUGGAUUUUAAGCUCCACUUUUGGGGGUUGAGUCAUUUGGAACCUAUACGUCUAUCAUGCUUCAUGCAUGAGACAUCAAUAUUCUCAUGUCCGCGGAUUGUCCUUUCUGGGAUGUGUAUCCAUGCGGCAACUGUUAUGCUUCUAAAAUGCAACAGUUAUACUUCGGGAAUGCAAUAAUUCAAUAGUGCCAUAUUCUUUUUCUUUUGAAUGACUGAACAUUUUGAGUGUGAGAGUUUGCCACGCUUCAGGCAUGUAACAGAUAACUCAUUUACUGCCUUAUUAUUUUGUCCAACAGGGACAUCAAUUCUUGUAGGCACAUUUGUAGCAAGUAUAUGUGAUGUUAUCACUUUCGUUGCAUCAUUAAAUGCAUCUGGCAUUUGACUUGCAUAUCGUUGCAUCAUUUAAUCAUUCUUACUUCGUUUUUAUAUUGAUUGCUUCAUAAAUCAAAAUAAGACAAAUUCUCUUCGUUCUUUUGGAACGGUCUUUUCUCAUCAUUCUUCUGGAAUGAUAUUUUCACAUCGUUUUUCUGGAAUGAUGUUAUUUUCUUCCCCUAAUGGCGGGAAAACUGUCUUAACAAAAUCAUAGUCUGCAAACCGCGCGGUAAACAUAUCCCCAGUCAAGGGCUCCAAAUGUUGAAUGAUAGAUGGUGGAUCAAAUUCAACAUAAAUUCCCAAUUUGUAAUGAUGCCUUAUUUUAGUAUGUUGUGGCAGUACGACAAGCACAUAGAUAACACAACCAAAAACUCGUAAAUGUUAAUGUUUGGUUGGUGCCUAAACACUAGUUGCACUGAGAAAUAUUGAUAGUUGGCAACUGGUCUCAACCGAACGUAAUAAUGAAUUAUGUAAAAUGGUACUUACCCAUCUUGCAAUUUCUUUUUCAUGAGCAGAGCGUGGGUAAUCAAUUUCAUCCGCUUAAUAAAUGCUUCUGUUAAAUCAUUUUGAGUAUGAACAUGAGGAACAUGGUGUUCAACAUCAAUGCCUAAUGACAUGCAAUACUCAUCAAAACUUCGAGAUGUAAACUCUCUAGCGAAUAUGCAUUAUAUCAUCAUUUACAUAAAUCAAGGAACUUCUGGUCCUUAUUUAAUAGCCUAUGAAUUGGGAUUCUCAUGGCCUUUAUUACAAUUAAGUUGUGGCACUUCGGCUCUUCAAACUUAAGGUACUCAUCAAGGAACUUCAUGUCCAAUCUUGAGGAUCUAGGGACUUCAUUCCUAAUCUUUUUACAUGAUUGAACUUCGGGUCUAAUCAUUUUAUGUGAUGAAGAUCAAGAAACUUCAAGUUCUGAUCUGAUCAAGAAACUUUGGGUCCAGUAUAUACUUAUCGUAACAAAAAGAAGUACAAUAAAUAAAUUAAAGCAAUAGACGGUAAUUCCAGCCAUAGUACAUAAAUUGCUUUUAAGUAAAUAAAGCUUGUGACAAGGGCUUUGAUUCAGCACCAAUCACAUAAAUAUCAAAGCUUUAAAGCAAAGGGUAAUAAUUCUACCCACUGUAAAUAAACAGAACUUGUGAUAGGGCUUCAAACCAACACCAUGCACAUAAAUAUGCCAAAACAGAAAAAUGCAAUGAUUAAGUCCUCAUCUUUUGCUUUUUCUUUUUCUUGGUCUGCCAUUUCUUUUGUUUGAUUUCUUUUAUUUUUUUUAUUUCACAGUUCUGAAGUCAUUUUGGUUACUCAGGAAAUAAUAGUAACAAUAAGUUCCAAUUGGUGCUCCUCCUCCGUGAGUUUUGAAAAAAUCGAAGCGGUUCCCAUAAGUUUUGGAGUCAAGAGUGUCUGCAACUUAUGAGAAGAUCAAACUGUUAGAUUUAGCUUAAAUUUUAGUAUGAUAUGGAUAAGAGGAUACCGAACAACUUUCGUGAAGAAACAGUUUCGAUAUGAUUUACUGAAAUGAAGUUUUGGUACUCAUAAGGUGCCUGUCCAAUUUUUUGUGGAAAUUGAAAACGGGUUUGGCAUUUCAUGCAUCUACGAUGAUCGCACCGUUGGAAUUUUCUGAAAAUUUGAUAUGUUGUAGGUACUAUGCGGACGAGCAACUUUGAAGAAGAAAAUAUUUCAAUCCGAGUUUUGCAAGUUGAAGAUGCGAGGCUGUUUACGUGGCUGUCAGAUUCUCUACGAAUUUUGAGUCUGUACUCUUUUGCUUCUACAAAGGAUGAUAUACAGUCAUACAACAAUAUAUAUAUUUGCUUCAAGAAAAUCAGUAGUACAAAGAUUUUAGGAUGAAAUGAAAGGAUUUUCUUAUAUGUGAGAUUCCAGGCGAAGAGGUGAACAUGAUUUGUGGCGUUGUGCUUUCCACUGACAUGAGAGCUUCUUGUUCUGAUAACGUGUUGUAAAAUUGACGGUGUGUGCAGUAGAAUAAAUAAACAAGACAUAAAAUUUACGAGGCUCCUCUACAGUCAGUGUGACUGGAGUAUGUCCUCGGGGCAGUAGUGAUGCUUUCAUUUAUAAUAUGAAAUAGUAAGAUUACAAAGAUAACUCUCUCUAUUAUCUCCUCUCUUUUUCUUCUAUCUGCCGUGAGCCUUAUGGCUUCUCUCUUCUUCCUCUCUUCUUCCUUUCUUUUCUCUCUUCACAACUGUAUGUCCAUUUGUGUAUAUACACUCUCCUUCUUUUCAUUCAUUUUAUAGACAAAGCUUUAGACAAAGUUGUAGUGGGAUGAACAGUGGAUUGGUAGUGGGAUAGGUGGCCAUCCACAAUGAAUGGCCUGUGAAUUACAACAUGGAUCCAUUUGUUUUAUAUCUACAUCCAACUAAAUAAUUUUGUCCAACAAAUUCUCAAAUCUGCCUUUAACAGAUAAGAAAAAGAAAAUAAUGAGAAAAAACAAUUUAUAUAGAAUUACCUCACUCCAACUAACAUCGAUGCCUUUUGUGAUAAAACCCCACACCUGACGGAUUUGGCAGGUGGUAAAGUGGGGACAGUAUUAGUGUUGUUGGAGUGGGCCCUCGGCCCGUCGAUCUAAAUUUUUUUACAUGGUAUCAAAGCCAGGGGACGAGCUAUCACACCCCGGACCUGGGGUAGGUGAAAAAAAUAACCCCGCAUCCGGCGCGCGAGUAAAAGUAAAAUAAAUAAAUAAAAGGAAAUUGACACGGGUUGAAAAAUAUAAACUUCUCUUAUUAAAUAUAACUCCAAAAUCCUUAUAGGGUGUACACAAAUAAUAAAUUAAAAUCCUUAAACUUCUCCUCAAUCACAACCUCUGCUCUUCCAACACUUGUCUUGCCAAACAACUCAUUUGUAAAAUAAUAGGUGAGGGGUGAGCAACAACCACCGUCUCUCAAUGAGUAGAAUAUAUAAUAUGCCAGUCAAGCUUGCCAUUUUAAUCACACUAUAAAAUAGGAUAAUAAUAUCAAAGCUUUAGCCACAUAAUUCCAUAUCACAUCAUCCCUUUACGUGUCCAUUAUAUCCUUCAUAAAUUGUAACUCACCACGUGACUCCUAAUGGCCAUCUGCCCUAAUGUCCCCAUGUGCAGUUUACAUUUAUCCCUUAGAUUAAUGCAACACUAAAGUUCUUAUGCUCCAUGAACAUCUCAAGUAAUUUCAUAUACAAUAUAUAUCCCAUCAUAAAACAUUUACACAAAAUCCAACAUGCUUGACUUAAAAUAGAUAGAGAUUUGAAAUAUAGAAAACCCACAAUAGCUCGUGGUUUUCAUUUAUCAGAAAAUAAGAAUAUUUUAAAUACAUUACAUAAACCACUCACCUCGAUAACUUGAAUCUUUGGCAAGACAACCCAACUAACAAGAUCAACACAUCAAACUCCAACUCUAAACUCUCUUUCCUUAUACUUGAACACCAACACUGCAUGUUGCCUUAUUUCCAUAAAAAAUGGAGUAAAGCUCCUAUUUAUACUAGUAGGAAACGGUUAGCACAAGACUCUAAUUGGUUGGUUUGGCGGCCAAACAAUGACGGCAUGCAAGGUGUCAACCAAAUAAGGAAUAAAUGAUACAGUGCAUCCACCUAAGGCUAUUUGAAGCCACGUCCAAGUUAUAGCUUGGAACACUCAGCAACUAGAUUGCUUAUUCACUUCUAAUACAUCACACUACCUCAUAUUGCAUGGCCUUUUGAAGCCACCUCCUGUAACCUAUGUGGCUGCUAACGAAAAAGAUAAUAAUUUAAAAUGGGACAUAUUAUGUGAUAAUUGAUUGCUACCUAACUAUAGUUCAUUCUAAUAACUGUAAAUAAUAUAUAAAAUUAUGGGAUCUCACACGGGCUCAUAUUGCCACGUGAUUGGGUGAGUCCCUUUUGGCCCGCGCGAUGGGUGAGUCUCGACAUGGCUCCACGUAGGCCAAAGAAGCCACGUGAUUGGGUGGGUCCCUGUUUGGCCGUGCACGAUGGGUGAGCCCUGACAUGGCUUCACGUGGUUACUGAUGUGUGGAUCUCCACGUGACCCAUAAAAUGGGGUCUCACGUAAGCAAUUUAUAUAGAAUUACCCCACUCUAAAUAACACCGAGACAUUUUGUAAUAAAAUCCCACACUUGACGGAUUGGGCAGGUGGUAAAAUGGGGACAGUAUCGGUGUUGUUGGAGUGGACCCACGGCUCGUCGACCUGAAAAUUCUACAAAAAUAAAAUGCCCAAUACCCUAAACCCACCACCACUAUUUUAUUUUGUGGAUGAUCUUGAGCAUAUACAAGUUCUAAUUGUUUUUAAAAUCUUUUUAUUUAUUUCAGGCCACAUUUGGAUUUUUUUUUAAAUAAUUUUUUAAAUUGGAUGUAAAGAUAAGAUAAAUGAGUUAUUGCAAUUAAUUUUAUUUACCAUUGAAUUAUGACCUGCUUAAUCUUUUUCAUUUGUUAAUUAUUUUUAAUUAAUUUCCCAUACAGUAGUUUGAAAUAUAACUAUCUAUUCAUUAUUCAUUUCAUAUUUGGGAUGAUAUUGAAUUAGACAUAAUGAUAGAAGUUGUAUUCAUUUAAUUUAGCCUCAUAAAGAAUUAUGAAUUGUUUUUAUAAGAGGACAUUAAUUUUUAUUCCUUUUUUCUUUUUGUUUAAUUUUAGUUUGUGUAUCAGAUUUCAAUUUUUCUACCCAUUCUAGGUUCAGAGUGUGAUACAUUCUCUCGAGAGGACUUUUUCUUCCUAUAUACAAGUCAGGAUCUCUUCGUUCUCCUUAGUUCGGUUUUUCUGAUACUUUAUUUUAAAUUUAAGGUUCCAUCACAAUAGCCCAUUAACCACAUGUUGAGAAGAUCACUCAAAUGAAAAUAGUUCAGACGAGAUGACCAAGUGUUUACCAAAGGCAAGGAUGAAUGUUGCAUAAGUUCGAUAGGAAUGAUGGUUCCAUCCACAUAAGUUGGGAGAGGGAGAUUGACCCCUCCUUAUUUGAUGAAGAGAAACAAUGACGUUAAAAGAAUGAGUAAAGGAUAAUAAAAGAAAGAGAAUUAAGGUGGCUAAUGCAUGGCUAUUGGUGAUGAAGAGUAAAGUAAGGAAAGCUCAUGUCAUGUACCAUGACAUCUGAGUACUCAGUGAUGGAUUAGAUGUAUUUGGUAAAUGUUUCUUGCAAAUAACCCAUAGCAAGAGUGAUAUAACCUCUAAAUGAACCUUAGUCCAGUUUAGGUAUGAAGACAGUUACUUUCUAUAUAAUACACGCUUCAUAUGGCCAAAAUACCACUUUAGAUUCAAUUAAUUUUAUGUGGCUGCAUAUUGCUUCCAUAAAUAUACUCUUAAAAAAUCAACAAAAAAAAAAAGGUGAAAAUCAUUAUCUUAAAUAGUUAACUAUUUAAUGUUUCCUAUUAUAAGUAUCUUCAUGCUUAAAUAAGGUUUUUUCAAGAAAUUAGUCUAACUUGGAAGUCAGGCUUGUCUAGUUGGUUAAAACUUGCCUCAAGUUUCCCUUAUUAGAUAUCCUAGUGCAUCACUGAAUAUCAUUGAAGUAAUACAUAUAUCUUCUUACAAGUUUUUUAAAGCAUGACUUUCUUGUUUUUAGCUGCUUUGUUGAGACCAUAGAUGUUGAAUAAUAUAUGUCUUGUAAUAUACCCCAGUAGCUUGUUAGUUGACACAAAAUAAAUAAUAACCAUGAUACCAUUCCUUUUGUUAUCAUCAUUGUUAUGUUACAAGAAAAUCUACUCAUAAGAUAUCGUUCAUUUUGGACUAUGUGUACUUGUUGUUUGGUCUACCAAUACAAAUCAACCACGUACACAGAUGGUGGGGUCCUGUGAUCACCAAGUUCUCGUACAGAUUGUUGAACUUUUGGACAAGAAACGAUAAGAGUCGUCCAUAAUGAAGUAUAUAUACUUCGACAUCUCCAACGGAAGAAAUCCUAGACUGUUCAAUUUCUCAUUCUGCGGCCAUUUCCUCUUUCUUUUUCUCUUAUUCUCCUUCGUUCCUGUCUAUUUUCUUUCGUUCCAGUUUGUGUGUGUAACCAAAACUCAGCCAAAAACAAAUAUAACGACCUCACAAUCUAGCCACGGAGAAGGAUCAUCCAGGGGAACCAAAAGGCUAACAGAACAGGUAAUUACUUGGAUGAUCGUUGUAACAACCCCUUCCUAAUUUUACAAUUUUAUUAAUUUUAAAACAAUGAAUUGACGAAAAUGCCCUAGAGGCGAGAUUGUUAACUUCGUUGAUUGCCAUUUCGUGACACGUAUGAGCUAUUAAUUUACCGUAUACUCAAACGUGUAGACGCAUGCAGAAUCGAAAUCUGAAUUACGAUGGAGAUUUUACAGAACUACGAAUCUGAAAGGUUAUUUUUGAAAAAGAACAAUUACUAUUUUAGUUAUUAAUAUAUUAUUUUAUAUUAUUUUAAGUAGGAUUUUUAUGUUGUGGUGGCCCACACCCACCACUCAUCUCUGCCACAUGUCACUCCCCCCAACUUUCUCGAUCUCUUUUCCCUCACUCCAC